GAUGAACGCUAGCGGCAGGCCUAACACAUGCAAGUCGAGGGGUAGAAGGAUUAAGCUUGCUUAAUUGCUGACGACCGGCGCACGGGUGAGUUACGCGAAUGCAACCUCCCUUAUACUGGGGUAUAGCCCGGCGAAAUCCGGAUUAAUCCCCCAUAGUCAUCAUGAAUCGCAUGGUUUACUCGUUAAAGCAUUUCGGUAUAAGACGGGCAUGCGUCCUAUUAGCUAGAUGGUGAGGUAGCGACUAACCAUGGCUACGAUAGGUAGGGGGCCUGGGAGGGUGGGCCCCCACACUGGUAGUGAGACACGGACCAGACUCCUACGGGAGGCAGCAGUGAGGAAUAUUGGUCAAUGGGCGCAAGCCUGAACCAGCCAUGCCGCGUGCAGGAAGAAUGCCCUAUGGGAUGUAAACUGCUUUUAUUUGGGAAUAAACCUCUUUACGUGUAGAGAGCUGAAGGUACCAAAUGAAUAAGCACCGGCUAACUCCGUGCCAGCCGCCGCCGUAA
Molecule: ribosomal RNA, 503 nt
Filed under: uncultured bacterium
Lineage: Bacteria
Description: partial 16S ribosomal RNA
Rfam family: Bacterial small subunit ribosomal RNA
Source: RNAcentral